RNAcentral lists this long non-coding RNA (604 nucleotides) under Chinchilla lanigera (long-tailed chinchilla). RNAcentral describes it as "lncRNA (ENSCLAG00000023737.1)". Lineage: Eukaryota; Metazoa; Chordata; Mammalia; Rodentia; Chinchillidae. The record is from RNAcentral.
UGCGGACGGCCGUUUCUUUUGUGUGGGGCUGGCUCGGCCUGGGGCUGGCGGCUGCGCUUCCCUCCACCAGCCGUGCGGCGGGUUUGCCAGCGCCUCCCGCCUUAUUUCCAGAGGCUUUCACGUGGCCUGUGGCACACAUUUUUUAAAAAAAAAAUCUUCAUUUUCAGUUUUCUUUCCAUUUUUCAUGUGCAGGGCUUACAAGAUGCAUCAGCUGAUAGUAAAAGAAACAAGACUCGAGUGGACAUAAACAAUAAGAAAAUAUUCUGCCAAGCUACCAGUGAACUCACAAAAUUGGCUAUGCACCUUGAUAACCAAGCUUGGAAAAUAGGCAGAAACUAAAGGAGGUAAAACAGAGUCAAGAUCAUGUCACAAGGAUAAACUACUACUAGCAUAGUUCCCAUUGGACACUUGAUGUUACUCUACCAUAUUCCACCACAAGUGGUCACUCAGUGCUGGAAUGUUUCACUUCUGACACCUUCAGCCAUCUCCUGAGUUUCAUUCCUGUGUGCAUUUCCUCGGAGCUGAGGCUAGACUGUUAAGUCUAUAGCCCAUGUUUAUGUACAUUCUCCUAGGGUGAUCAGAAGGAGUCAAAAUAAAUGUUUAU